Molecule: ribosomal RNA, 2094 nt
Filed under: Listeria monocytogenes
Lineage: Bacteria; Bacillati; Bacillota; Bacilli; Caryophanales; Listeriaceae
Description: partial 23S ribosomal RNA
Rfam family: Bacterial large subunit ribosomal RNA
Source: RNAcentral
CUGAGUACGGCGGAACACGUGAAAUUCCGUCGGAAUCCGGGAGGACCAUCUCCCAAGGCUAAAUACUCCCUAGUGACCGAUAGUGAACCAGUACCGUGAGGGAAAGGUGAAAAGCACCCCGGAAGGGGAGUGAAACAGUUCCUGAAACCGUGUGCCUACAAGUAGUUAGAGCCCGUUAAUGGGUGAUAGCGUGCCUUUUGUAGAAUGAACCGGCGAGUUACGAUUUGUUGCAAGGUUAAGCGGAAAAAGCGGAGCCGUAGCGAAAGCGAGUCUGAAUAGGGCGCAUAAGUAACAGGUCGUAGACCCGAAACCAGGUGAUCUACCCAUGUCCAGGAUGAAGGUAAGGUAAUACUUACUGGAGGUCCGAACCCACGCACGUUGAAAAGUGCGGGGAUGAGGUGUGGGUAGCGGAGAAAUUCCAAUCGAACUUGGAGAUAGCUGGUUCUCUCCGAAAUAGCUUUAGGGCUAGCCUCGAGGUAAAGAGUCAUGGAGGUAGAGCACUGUUUGGACUAGGGGCCCUUCUCGGGUUACCGAAUUCAGAUAAACUCCGAAUGCCAUGUACUUAUACUCGGGAGUCAGACUGCGAGUGAUAAGAUCCGUAGUCGAAAGGGAAACAGCCCAGACCACCAGUUAAGGUCCCCAAAUAUAUGUUAAGUGGAAAAGGAUGUGGGGUUGCUUAGACAACCAGGAUGUUGGCUUAGAAGCAGCCACCAUUGAAAGAGUGCGUAAUAGCUCACUGGUCGAGUGACCCCGCGCCGAAAAUGUACCGGGGCUAAACAUAUUACCGAAACUGUGGAUGAACCUCUUUAGAGGUUCGUGGUAGGAGAGCGUUCUAAGGGCGGUGAAGUCAGACCGGAAGGACUGGUGGAGCGCUUAGAAGUGAGAAUGCCGGUAUGAGUAGCGAAAGAAGGGUGAGAAUCCCUUCCACCGAAUAUCUAAGGUUUCCUGAGGAAGGCUCGUCCGCUCAGGGUUAGUCGGGACCUAAGCCGAGGCCGAUAGGCGUAGGCGAUGGACAACAGGUAGAGAUUCCUGUACCAGUGCUAAUUGUUUAACCGAUGGGGUGACACAGAAGGAUAGGGAAUCGCACGAAUGGAAAUGUGCGUCCAAGCAGUGAGUGUGAGAAGUAGGCAAAUCCGCUUCUCGCGAAGCAUGAGCUGUGAUGGGGAAGGAAAUUAAGUACGGAAGUUCCUGAUUUCACGCUGUCAAGAAAAGCCUCUAGGAAGAGUAGUACUGCCCGUACCGCAAACCGACACAGGUAGAUGAGGAGAGAAUCCUAAGGUGAGCGAGAGAACUCUCGUUAAGGAACUCGGCAAAAUGACCCCGUAACUUCGGGAGAAGGGGUGCUCUAUUAGGGUGCAAGCCCGAGAGAGCCGCAGUGAAUAGGCCCAGGCGACUGUUUAGCAAAAACACAGGUCUCUGCAAAACCGUAAGGUGACGUAUAGGGGCUGACGCCUGCCCGGUGCUGGAAGGUUAAGAGGAGUGCUUAGCUUCGGCGAAGGUACGAAUUGAAGCCCCAGUAAACGGCGGCCGUAACUAUAACGGUCCUAAGGUAGCGAAAUUCCUUGUCGGGUAAGUUCCGACCCGCACGAAAGGCGCAACGAUCUGGGCACUGUCUCAACGAGAGACUCGGUGAAAUUAUAGUACCUGUGAAGAUGCAGGUUACCCGCGACAGGACGGAAAGACCCCGUGGAGCUUUACUGCAACCUGAUAUGGAAUGUUUGUACCGCUUGUACAGGAUAGGUAGGAGCCGAAGAGACGUGUGCGCUAGCAUACGAGGAGGCAAUGGUGGGAUACUACCCUGGCUGUAUGACCAUUCUAACCCGCCACGCUUAGCGCGUGGGGAGACAGUGUCAGGUGGGCAGUUUGACUGGGGCGGUCGCCUCCUAAAGAGUAACGGAGGCGCCCAAAGGUUCCCUCAGAAUGGAUGGAAAUCAUUCGCAGAGUGUAAAGGCACAAGGGAGCUUGACUGCGAGACUGACAAGUCGAGCAGGGACGAAAGUCGGGCUUAGUGAUCCGGUGGUUCCGCAUGGAAGGGCCAUCGCUCAACGGAUAAAAGCUACCCCGGGGAUAACAGGCUUAUCUCCCCCAAGAGUC